Molecule: ribosomal RNA, 448 nt
Filed under: uncultured bacterium
Lineage: Bacteria
Description: bacterial SSU rRNA
Rfam family: Bacterial small subunit ribosomal RNA
Source: RNAcentral
UCGAGAAUUUUUCUCAAUGGGGGAAACCCUGAAGGAGCGACGCCGCGUGGAGGAUGAAGGUCUUCGGGUUGUAAACUCCUGUCAUUUGGGAACAAGGCGGACGUAUUUACUGUACGUCCGUUGAUAGUACCAGAAGAGGAAGAGACGGCUAACUCUGUGCCAGCAGCCGCGGUAAUACAGAGGUCUCAAGCGUUGUUCGGAUUCAUUGGGCGUAAAGGGUGCGUAGGUGGCGCCGUAAGUCAGGUGUGAAAUUUCGGAGCUUAACUCCGAAACUGCAUUUGAUACUGCGGUGCUUGAGGACUGGAGAGGAGACUGGAAUUCAUGGUGUAGCAGUGAAAUGCGUAGAGAUCAUGAGGAAGACCAGUGGCGAAGGCGGGUCUCUGGACAGUUCCUGACACUGAGGCACGAAGGCCAGGGGAGCAAACGGGAUUAGAUACCCCUGUAGUCC